Fundulus heteroclitus (mummichog) is the source of this 1405-nucleotide long non-coding RNA. RefSeq lists it as uncharacterized. The record is from RefSeq and is a predicted model, not a curated record. The transcript has 3 exons. Lineage: Eukaryota; Metazoa; Chordata; Actinopteri; Cyprinodontiformes; Fundulidae.
UGACGUUUGUCAGUGUUCAGCGCAAAUAGGUCAUAGGGACAGGGAAGAGAUUAUGAGGGUUUUAAUAAAAAAAUAAGAUGAAGCUUCUUGUAAAGGGUGAGUUUGUGAGGCUCCAACCAUCACAUGAGGUUUCUUCUUUUUUUCUCUCUCUCUAAUCAGAAGGAAGUAGCCUGUUAGUGCUGUAGCUAUCAGGGGUGUGUAUCUGGUCUGUGUGUAUAAUAUGUUUCCACAUCUAUAAUUUAAUUCAUUGCUGUUAAAAUAAAUUCUGUAAUUAUUAAAAGUUUAUUUUACUGUUAAACAUUUUAUACUUGCCAGUAAAACAUGCAGAGGCGAAGAUGCAUAAAUCCAAAGGAAGAUACCAAAUAUUAUAUUGAUACCAGAAAGGACAGAGUGGGUCUUGACGUCAAGUACAUCAAUGCCUUUAAAGGCCGUGGUAUUUUUGCCACAACCUCUUUUCAGAAAGGAGACUUUCUGUUGGAGUAUCGAGGUGAACUAAUCAGUAAAGAGGAAUGUGAGAGGAGACGAAGAGUUUACCAUGACAACCUUAAAGUGUUCAUGUUUGAAUUUGUCUUUAAUGGAAAACUUUGGUGGUGAGUAUGUUUGAAUCAUAAGUCUAUUUAGAAUUAAAGGACAUAUGUCAACAUGCUAAACAUGAUGGAUGCCAGACUCUUGGGAAGUAUACCAUCUAUACUGCUGGAUAUUAAAUAAUUCCUAAUGUUAUGUAUUUGUAGUGUUGAUGCAGCAAAAGAAGAUGGCUCUCUUGGAAGGCUUGUAAAUAAUUACCAUAUCAGCCCAGAUGCCAAAAUGAAGUGCCUGACUGUGCAAGGGAAGCCACAUUUGUGUUUGUUUGCAACUCAAGAAAUUAAUAAGGGAGAAGAGAUUACCUAUAAUUAUGGAGACUCAGACUGGCCAUGGAGUUACAAGGUACUAAAAAAAUGAAUAAAUCUAAUCAAAAUGCUUAAACAAGACAUGAUUUAAUAAUAAGAUUUUACAACUAUACAACUUUAUACUCUCAACCCAUCUUUAUGUUAAAAAAUUCAAUACCGCAUCCACAUCACAGUUGGCUUGAGAUUAUGAAAUGGUAUCAAACAGACCAAAUGAAAGUGUGUAAAAACAUUUCUUCUUAAAAGCUUUAAUGACAAGAUCCUGACACAAGUCAAGAAAACUAUAAUUUAAAAUAUCUCAAUGAUUAGGUCAAGCUAAGUAUGGUGUUGACUUGUAUUCAUUAUCUGUUUCAGGUCAAAGCUGAAAAUGCCCCAGAACAGAUGGAAGACAGCAUCCCAAAUGAAACAGAUCCUGUGAUUGCUGUACUCCCCAACAAUGCAGAGAGAACUCAUGAGGCACAGCCAGAAGACAACCAAAAAAACCACGGUCAAGUGCUGAGGUUUCUGCUGUUAUUUAAAGG